UCUUCCUUUAUUUCUUUCCUUUUUUUUCUUAUUUCCUUUGAUCUUUUGUUUCUUUCUCUUUUUUUUUAGCCUCUUUUCCUCUACUUUAUCCAUAUGAAUGAGUUUCAGAAUUCCAACUCUAUUUUGAUCUCAUUUUCUUAUAACAAUAGAAUAGAAUGACUGAAACAUCCUCCAUUUCAUUGAGACUUAAAAUCUUGUAUAUACCACUGACAUCAUCACC
This 220-nucleotide long non-coding RNA is filed under the name Elaeis guineensis (African oil palm). Its description in RNAcentral is "long non-coding RNA (EGUI_LNC015857)". Lineage: Eukaryota; Viridiplantae; Streptophyta; Magnoliopsida; Arecales; Arecaceae. The record is from RNAcentral.